RNAcentral lists this unclassified non-coding RNA (658 nucleotides) under Xanthomonas phaseoli pv. manihotis. RNAcentral's name for it is "partial contains 16S-23S ribosomal RNA intergenic spacer and 23S ribosomal RNA". The stretch from base 360 to 658 matches the Rfam family "Bacterial large subunit ribosomal RNA", at positions 1 to 297 of the family's 2925-position model. Lineage: Bacteria; Pseudomonadati; Pseudomonadota; Gammaproteobacteria; Lysobacterales; Lysobacteraceae. The record is from RNAcentral.
GCAGGGGGUCGUCGGUUCGAUCCCGACAGGCUCCACCAUUUGAGUGAAACGACUUUGGGUCUGUAGCUCAGGUGGUUAGAGCGCACCCCUGAUAAGGGUGAGGUCGGUGGUUCGAGUCCUCCCAGACCCACCACUCUGAAUGUAGUGCACACUUAAGAAUCUAUAUGGAUCAGCGUUGAGGCUGAGACAUGUUCUUUUAUAACUUGUGACGUAGCGAGCGUUUGAGAUAUCUAUCUAAACGUGUCGUUGAGGCUAAGGCGGGGACUUCGAGUCCCUAGAAAUUGAGUCGUAUGUUCGCGUUAGUGGCUUUGUACCCCACACAACACGGCGUAUGGCCCCGAGGCAACUUGGGGUUAUAUGGUCAAGCGAAUAAGCGCACACGGUGGAUGCCUAGGCGGUCAGAGGCGAUGAAGGACGUGGUAGCCUGCGAAAAGUGUCGGGGAGCUGGCAACAAGCUUUGAUCCGGCAAUGUCCGAAUGGGGAAAACCACUGCUUCGGCAGUAUCCUGCAGUGAAUUCAUAGCUGCUGGAAGCGAACCCGGUGAACUGAAAUAUCUAAGUAACCGGAGGAAAAGAAAUCAACCGAGAUUCCCUAAGUAGUGACGAGCGAACGGGGAGCAGCCCUUAAGCUGGAAUGGCUUUAGAAAAACAAUCUGGGA